This 287-nucleotide long non-coding RNA is filed under the name Manihot esculenta (cassava). Its description in RNAcentral is "long non-coding RNA (MESC_LNC003401)". The record is from RNAcentral. Lineage: Eukaryota; Viridiplantae; Streptophyta; Magnoliopsida; Malpighiales; Euphorbiaceae.
UUUUCUACUGGAUUAUAUACUGCCUGGGGAACCGAAGAACUAUAAUCUACUCCUUUCAUUUUAAGAUGUCUAUCUGGAAUGUCUGAUGUAGAAUACAUGGGUUUUACUAUGUGUAAUACCCGGCUAGAUGCCGGCAUCGGAAUUCUGACUUUCCGGCGGAAUCUCCGUUGGAAUCUAGAAUUCGAGGAUGUCGGAGCCUUCUAGAAGGGUUAUAAAAAGAGGUUUUCAAAAUGUUUUUAAGUGUUUUAUGGUUUUGAAUGCACCGGAUUUGGGUUUUGAAAGGGAAA